UUCAAAAUCCGAUCAUAGAUGCAAACACACCAAAAUAUCCAUUUUCCUCAAACAUCAAUGUUGCAAAUUUUGUGACAUUGAAAUUAAAUGACAACAAUUACUUGCUACGAAAAACACAAGUUCUAUCUCUAUUCUCUGUUUGAAAGUCCAGGCUCCUAGGGUAGGACCAAAGACCGCGCUAUGAUGGAGUGGCCUGAUGAGUAGGCUUCUACCAAUUUUGCCUCUCCAUAGGUUGCUGGAU
This 241-nucleotide long non-coding RNA is filed under the name Elaeis guineensis (African oil palm). RNAcentral's name for it is "long non-coding RNA (EGUI_LNC074394)". The record is from RNAcentral. Lineage: Eukaryota; Viridiplantae; Streptophyta; Magnoliopsida; Arecales; Arecaceae.